Molecule: ribosomal RNA, 507 nt
Filed under: uncultured Glomeromycotina
Lineage: Eukaryota; Fungi; Glomeromycota
Description: partial small subunit ribosomal RNA
Rfam family: Eukaryotic small subunit ribosomal RNA
Source: RNAcentral
CCAAUAGCGUAUAUUAAAGUUGUUGCAGUUAAAAAGCUCGUAGUUGAAUUUCGGGAUUGACGUAAUGGUCAUGCCUUAAGGGGUAUGAACUGUUACUGUUGAUUUCUCACCUUCUGGAGAAACUUGAUGUCCUUUAUUGGGUGUCUUGCGGAUCCAGGACCUUUACCUUGAAAAAAUUAGAGUGUUUAAAGCAGGCAUUUUUGCUCGAAUACAUUAGCAUGGAAUAAUAGAAUAGGACGGCAUGGUUCUAUUUUGUUGGUUUCUAGGAUCACCGUAAUGAUUAAUAGGGAUAGUUGGGGGCAUUAGUAUUCAAUUGUCAGAGGUGAAAUUCUUGGAUUUAUUGAAGACUAACUACUGCGAAAGCAUUUGCCAAGGAUGUUUUCAUUAAUCAAGAACGAAAGUUAGGGGAUCGAAGACGAUCAGAUACCGUCGUAGUCUUAACCAUAAACUAUGCCGACUAGGAAUCAGACGAUGUUAAUUUUUUAAUGACUCGUUUGGCACCUUACG